Pelobates cultripes (western spadefoot toad) is the source of this 264-nucleotide non-coding RNA. Lineage: Eukaryota; Metazoa; Chordata; Amphibia; Anura; Pelobatidae. The record is from the annotation of a GenBank genome assembly.
GCUACGCUUUUGCACCCUGCUCUAGGAGGAGGAGGAGGUGGAUGUGGAGUAGGAGAUUGAGGAGCCGGUGACCUGGCAGCGAUGACGCAUUCGGAUGUCUGCCCUAUCAACUUUCGAUGUUACUUUCUGCGCCUACCAUGGUGACCACGGGUAACGGGGAAUCAGGGCUCGAUUCCGGAGAGGGAGCCUGAGAAACGACUACCACAUCCAAGGAAGGCUGCAGAGGCGCAAAUUACCCACUCCUGACUCUUUACAGGCCCUGUA